RNAcentral lists this long non-coding RNA (1118 nucleotides) under Dromaius novaehollandiae (emu). RNAcentral's name for it is "lncRNA (ENSDNVG00000019186.1)". The record is from RNAcentral. Lineage: Eukaryota; Metazoa; Chordata; Aves; Casuariiformes; Dromaiidae.
GUCUUCCGACACUGGGCUUCCGGGAGGCCGUGUUGUUUUACACAGCAUGCCGGGAGCGGUAGUCUUCCGGCACUGGGCUUCCGGUCGGCCAUGUUGUUUUCCGAGGAAUGCCGGGAGCGGUAGUCUUCCGGCACUGGGCUUCCGGGGGGGGGCAUGUUGUUUUGCGCAGCAUGCCGGGAGCGGUAGUCUUCCGGCACUGGGCUUCCGGGAGGCCAUGUUGUUUUGCGCGGCAUGCCGGGAGUGGUAGUCUUCCGGCACUGGGCUUCCGGGGGGGGGCCAGGUUGGUGUCCAAAAGGUAGUGCUGCGCCCGAAAGAGAAGCGCAUGCGCACUGGCUUUCCCGUGCUCAUUGCAGCCCUCGGGUGUGUCGACACGCCAGUACUGCAGCCACCAUGGGCCACCUCCGCAUACGAAGGACAUUGCGGGCAGCCGUCGCACACACGUGCAGUGCCAGUCGCCGUGUUCACCGCUACUCUCCACUCUUUCGGUAACGGCUGCCCCAAAGCCACAGGCUUCCCCGGUGCAGCAUGUGUCGAUGGGUCCGCCGUUGCCUCUGACGUCUCCCCAGGCACUCGUACGCUGCGCAGGGGGUCUGGAUGUCCCAGCAGUGGCACAGCAGCCGGAUGCGUCCUCUCRUCUGGGACGCGGGGUCCUUCACCGCUAUUCUGGGAUACAGCGCCCUUGCCAGCUCUCCGGAGCCUCUUUACGUGCGAGAUGUGGCUGAUCUGGGAUAAUCGUGCUGUGCAGUUGUGGAGGAUUUUCUAGAGGAAAAUGGACAUGUGAGCAAUCCAGCCCUAAUGCUAAUAGCAAGAGUGUGAAAGUAGGUUUUGCGGCCUACUGGUAAGGUUAUUAGAGGGCAUGCAAUGUGGUGAGAAACUGUCCUUGGAAGGAGAAAAACAACUCCCAGGAAAAACAACUCCCAGAUGUUCAGUGAGAAACUUAGGGGCUUAGGUAAUUUCUUUGCCUCCUCGAAGACAGUAAAUGCUAUCCAAUCAUAUACUGUUUAGAUGUGCGUGCUAAAUGAACAUGUACCAAUCACUGUAUAGUUUGAGUCACGGGAUCACUGUUAAGGCAUAUAAAAGAUGCUAUUUGGGCUUAAUAAAGUGUCAGCAUUUAAUCA